GAUGAACGCUGGCGGCGUGCCUCAAACAUGCAAGUCGAGCGAGGCUAUGAGUUACCGCAAGGUAAGGCAUAGCCUAGCGGCGAACGGGUGAGUAACACGUGGGUAACCUACCUGGAAGACAGGGAUAACGAUUCGAAAGGGUCGCUAAUACCUGAUAAUAUCCAUCUGCCGGAUGGCGGAGGGAAGAAAGGGGAAACCCGCUUUCAGAUGGGCCCGCGUCCCAUCAGCUAGUUGGUAAGGUAAAGGCUUACCAAGGCGACGACGGGUAGCCGGUCUGAGAGGAUGUACGGCCACACUGGGACUGAGAUACGGCCCAGACUCCUACGGGAGGCAGCAGUGGGGAAUAUUGCACAAUGGGCGAAAGCCUGAUGCAGCGACGCCGCGUGAGGGAUGACGGCCUUCGGGUUGUAAACCUCUUUCAGCAGGGAAGAAGCGAAAGUGACGGUACCUGCAGAAGAAGCACCGGCUAACUACGUG
RNAcentral lists this ribosomal RNA (477 nucleotides) under uncultured bacterium. RNAcentral's name for it is "bacterial SSU rRNA". It matches the Rfam family "Bacterial small subunit ribosomal RNA", at positions 28 to 507 of the family's 1533-position model. The record is from RNAcentral.